RNAcentral lists this ribosomal RNA (581 nucleotides) under uncultured bacterium. RNAcentral describes it as "bacterial SSU rRNA". It matches the Rfam family "Bacterial small subunit ribosomal RNA", at positions 102 to 679 of the family's 1533-position model. The record is from RNAcentral.
ACGGGUGAGUAAUGUCUGGGGAUCUGCCCGAUAGAGGGGGAUAACCACUGGAAACGGUGGCUAAUACCGCAUAACGUCGCAAGACCAAAGAGGGGGACCUUCGGGCCUCUCACUAUCGGAUGAACCCAGAUGGGAUUAGCUAGUAGGCGGGGUAACGGCCCACCUAGGCGACGAUCCCUAGCUGGUCUGAGAGGAUGACCAGCCACACUGGAACUGAGACACGGUCCAGACUCCUACGGGAGGCAGCAGUGGGGAAUAUUGCACAAUGGGCGCAAGCCUGAUGCAGCCAUGCCGCGUGUAUGAAGAAGGCCUUCGGGUUGUAAAGUACUUUCAGCGGGGAGGAAGGCAAUAAGGUUAAUAACCUUGUUGAUUGACGUUACCCGCAGAAGAAGCACCGGCUAACUCCGUGCCAGCAGCCGCGGUAAUACGGAGGGUGCAAGCGUUAAUCGGAAUUACUGGGCGUAAAGCGCACGCAGGCGGUCUGUUAAGUCAGAUGUGAAAUCCCCGGGCUUAACCUGGGAACUGCAUUUGAAACUGGCAGGCUUGAGUCUCGUAGAGGGGGGUAGAAUUCCAGGUGUAGC